This 777-nucleotide ribosomal RNA is filed under the name bacterium. RNAcentral describes it as "bacterial SSU rRNA". It matches the Rfam family "Bacterial small subunit ribosomal RNA", at positions 94 to 873 of the family's 1533-position model. The record is from RNAcentral.
AGUGGCGGACGGGUGAGUAAUGCUUGGGAACUUGCCUUUGCGAGGGGGAUAACAGUUGGAAACGACUGCUAAUACCGCAUAAUGUCUUCGGACCAAACGGGGCUUCGGCUCCGGCGCAGAGAGAGGCCCAAGUGAGAUUAGCUAGUUGGUGAGGUAAAGGCUCACCAAGGCGACGAUCUCUAGCUGUUCUGAGAGGAAGAUCAGCCACACUGGGACUGAGACACGGCCCAGACUCCUACGGGAGGCAGCAGUGGGGAAUAUUGCACAAUGGGGGAAACCCUGAUGCAGCCAUGCCGCGUGUGUGAAGAAGGCCUUCGGGUUGUAAAGCACUUUCAGUUGUGAGGAAAAGUUAGUAGUUAAUACCUGCUAGCCGUGACGUUAACAACAGAAGAAGCACCGGCUAACUCCGUGCCAGCAGCCGCGGUAAUACGGAGGGUGCGAGCGUUAAUCGGAAUUACUGGGCGUAAAGCGCACGCAGGCGGUUUGUUAAGCUAGAUGUGAAAGCCCCGGGCUCAACCUGGGAUGGUCAUUUAGAACUGGCAGACUAGAGUCUUGGAGAGGGGAGUGGAAUUCCAGGUGUAGCGGUGAAAUGCGUAGAUAUCUGGAGGAACAUCAGUGGCGAAGGCGACUCCCUGGCCAAAGACUGACGCUCAUGUGCGAAAGUGUGGGUAGCGAACAGGAUUAGAUACCCUGGUAGUCCACACCGUAAACGCUGUCUACUAGCUGUGUGUGAUUUUAAAUCGUGCGUAGCGAAGCUAACGCGCUAAGUAGACCGCC